This 253-nucleotide ribosomal RNA is filed under the name uncultured bacterium. RNAcentral's name for it is "partial 16S ribosomal RNA". It matches the Rfam family "Bacterial small subunit ribosomal RNA", at positions 524 to 776 of the family's 1533-position model. The record is from RNAcentral.
UACGUAGGGGGCUAGCGUUGUCCGGAUUUAUUGGGCGUAAAGCGCGUGUAGGCGGCUUGGUAAGUCCGUUCUGAAAGCCCGGGGCUCAACCCCGGGAGGCGGAUGGAUACUGUCAAGCUUGAGUCCGGAAGAGGCGAGUGGAAUUCCCGGUGUAGCGGUGAAAUGCGCAGAUAUCGGGAGGAACACCAAUGGCGAAGGCAGCUCGCUGGGACGUGACUGACGCUGAGACGCGAAAGCGUGGGGAGCAAACAGG